GAUGGCAGCCAUCUCCCUGGAAAACACCCCUUUAGAUUUUAACUAUGUUCUUACCUUCAAAUUAAAAAAGACACACGCAUAUACAGAGAAGAAAGGGAGAAACGACCAUAAUUCCCUUGAUUACCGCCACAAACCUCUCAUUUUUCGAACAAUAAAAAAAACGGCAGCUUGACACCUAAUCCCAAAAGGAAAAAGCAGCCACCCCCCAUUUUCCAAAAGCUUCAGCUAUCUCCUAAAUGUGAAGAAUUUAGCAACUGAUUAAUGCAUUUAAAAAAACGAUGUAUUACACCUCCAAGUUGUUUUGCAGUAAGGCAAUUUUGCCGAUUUGUAUCAAAAUUAGGAUGUUGAAGUCGUUUGAGGUCGCCGACGAGGUUCCAUCGAGGUUGUCACCUCCAAGGUUUCUGGUCUUGAAAUACUUUCAGAUUCAAAGAGCUAAGAUACCGAAGCAACAUUGGGUCAGCAGCAGUAGCUUGAGAGCCAGCCUUCAGUCCACCGAGACUCCGAGGUAGUCCUGCAGGCGUUCGCAGGCUUGACGUCUCUUCUAUGAGUUAUUUUGUUCUGUUAUCAUUGUAUCCGAGACAGACAUCGUUCCUUCUUUCAAACGUUUGUAUGUAGCAAUCAUAUAGAGUCCGUGAAUGUUGUGACACCAGUUUCUGAGUAGAGGCAUAUGUUGAUUUCCUUA
Molecule: long non-coding RNA, 682 nt
Organism: Nicotiana tabacum (common tobacco)
Lineage: Eukaryota; Viridiplantae; Streptophyta; Magnoliopsida; Solanales; Solanaceae
Source: RefSeq, a predicted model, not a curated record